Long non-coding RNA from Limulus polyphemus (Atlantic horseshoe crab), 2354 nucleotides. RefSeq lists it as uncharacterized. The transcript is spliced from 2 exons. The record is from RefSeq and is a predicted model, not a curated record. NCBI's taxonomy places the organism in Eukaryota, Metazoa, Arthropoda, Merostomata, Xiphosura, Limulidae.
AUCAUGAAUUAUUUCCGAAGAAUCAAAUAUGAAAUUAGCAAAUAGAUUUAUAGUUUUUGCAAAGUUAUAAUAGUGUAUAGUUACUCAACAUUAAAACUAUUUGUAUGAAUAUCAUGAUAAAACCCCGGUGACUCAACAUCAAAUCUAGCUGUAUGAACAUCAUGAUGAAGCCCUCGUGACUCAACAUUAAAACUAGUUGUAUGAAUAUCAUGAUAAAACCCUGGUGACUCAACAUCAAAUCUAGCUGUAUGAACAUCAUGAUGAAGCCCUCGUGACUCAACAUUAAAACUAGUUGUAUGAAUAUCAUGAUGAAACUCUAGUGACUCGACAACAAAACUAUUUGUAUGAACAUCAUGAUGAAACUCUCGUGACUUAACAUCAAAACUAGCUGUAUGAACUUCAUGAUGAAACUAGUGACACAAUAUCGAAACUAGUUGCGUAAACACUAGACCUGAGUUUCGUCAUGAUGUUCAUACAGCUAGUUUUGAUAUUGUGUUACUAGUUUCGUCAUGAUGUUCAUACAGCUAGUUUUGAUGAUUGUUACCGAAUCUAGUAGGCUCAAAUAUCUAAUAAAUAUUUUAUUUUUCAUUGUACCAAAAAACGUCGUUCUUGUUUCUGACUCUUAAUAAGCUUAAUGAGUUAUAAAAAAUAUUCAAGUUUUACGAAUGUCGUAUGCAGAACAUCCUCAUUGAGUCUAUAGAGUUUUUAUAAGUCUAUUCAGUUAUUGUGUGCGGGACAUUUUUAUUAAGUCUAAUGAUUGUUCCAAUAACUCUAUUCAACUGUUCCAAAUACUGUGUGCAGGACCUUUUAAUUAAAGCUAAUGAGGUCUUUGAAAAGUCAAUUCAACUAUCACUUAUGCUAUGAUUUUUACAAUUUUGUCACACAGCUUUAUUCAAACAUAUAAAAAAAACUAUGGGCAGGACAACUUCUUUAAGUCGGAUCAGUUUUACUACGUGUAUUAGGCUUGUGUAUAUAUAUAAAUGUAUUAUAUUUACUACCAACAAAGUUUUUGUUUUUUCUAAUACGCGAUCCAUGGUCUCAUAAGACCAUAAACAAGCAAUCACAUGGCUCAAGUAUACAUAAAUCUGUAGAUAUUCACGUGGCUCGAAUAUACAUGAAGCCACGGAUAGUCACAUGGAUCGAGUAUCCACCAACCAAUGGUAGGAGAGAAAAUAAAAGCUGUGUAAAUUCAGUACAUGUGAUAGAUGAUUUCUUUACUUAAUUAAAAAUCACGUAAUAGUGAACUAACGCUGUAUGUUUAUCAUGUUUUAAGUUGGGAAAAUUCGUAAUACUUUUAUAAUAACCAAUUUGUGGCAGCCAAUAAUAUGUUAUUCACGAACGAUAAAAUUACCGAAUACCCAACUUCAGGACAGCUUGGUGUUAUAAUACUCACUCCGUUUGGACGUUCAAGUAAUUUGGUUUUCACCUCUAAUCGGCAGGUGCGUGUGACGUCAUAGAUGUGACGCUCUUAUAGUUUAUUACGCAACAAAGACUUGUUUCUCGACAGAUUAACUAAGCCGAAAAUUGAUAUUUGUAUCGCAUUUUCUAAGAUGAUUACGCAAAGGCAACUUAUUAUUAUGCUGUUUAAAUAAUAAUUUAGGUGGGGCGAAGAACUACUUUUAUAUAAGCGCAACGCCUUACAGCGCGGAGCGAUAUAUUUGUAUUUACUGAGAGCGUGCCGCGCGGUGAGUGUUGCCUUUCACGUCCGAUUUAGGGAGCAUGUCAACGGCUCUCUGGACCACGAUGCUUGGCGGCAGCAUGGAGGCUAGAAUUUAGUUUUCAACCUAAACUUUCUACCGACACCCAUGACAACUUAACGCUACAAAAUAGGACUCCCUUCUGAGUAACGACGUGUUACGUCAUAGCGUCUGGGCUGGGUAGAGCAGGAAUUAUGUAAGCAGACGGUCGUGAACAAAAACUCAAAACCCGUCGUCCAAACAGCCAGCCUCGUUUUAUGUCCCGGACCGUUUUGUUCAUUCGCUUUUCUUUACACCUGGAAUGUACGUGUAUUAUUACAGAAGGCUGUUGUAUACGUUGUAGUAUGUCACAGAUUGCGUUUAAACAUGAUCAGAAUCUAAGGGAAAUUAAAUGUUGAGUUUGAUACAGUUUGGUAAAAAGAACAAGCUUUAUAUGAAAACCUGUUUAGCACAGUUGUUAUAGUCUAUGAUGUAAAAAAAAACGACAACUGUGUGAACUUCGUAAUCGUAAUAUUUACUGUUGAUUGUUGAUAAUUAUUUCUCAGACUGGACAUUUUGUAAAUGGAAAACGUCGAAUGUACAGUUAAACGUAAUAAUGGGCCUGUUUCAAGCCUGUAUGCCUGAAAGAUAGAAAAAUAAAGUAUAAGAAUGCUGUAA